CAGGAACCUACGGCAGUGUGAGACUUUCUCAAGGGCGUGGGGCCAUCCCAGCUAAGGUGUGACAGACAACAGCACUGUGCUGCCCACAUGCUCAGGGGACUACAUAGCCAUGUGGUAUCCUGUCACCAUCCUGUCAUUACAACGCUUGAAUAGUGCAGAGAAGUGGGAAGAAAGCCAAUGGAGGUGUGGAUUUUGGGUUUUACAACUACAUGGGUCAUCGAGGUGCCUACGAACUUCACCAGGGAUAACUGAAAAUGUCAAUGUGUAGGAAAUAAGCAAGUGUGUGUGCUCUCACUGACCUUGUACCCACAACUUAUAAACCACUGUGCCAGU
Molecule: long non-coding RNA, 333 nt
Filed under: Rattus norvegicus (Norway rat)
Lineage: Eukaryota; Metazoa; Chordata; Mammalia; Rodentia; Muridae
Description: long non-coding RNA NONRATT001098
Source: RNAcentral